RNAcentral lists this ribosomal RNA (371 nucleotides) under uncultured organism. Its description in RNAcentral is "bacterial SSU rRNA". It matches the Rfam family "Bacterial small subunit ribosomal RNA", at positions 527 to 896 of the family's 1533-position model. The record is from RNAcentral.
GUAGGGUGCGAGCGUUAAUCGGAAUUACUGGGCGUAAAGUGUGCGCAGGUGGCCGCGCAAGUCGAGUGUGAAAUCCCCGGGCUUAACUUGGGAAUUGCGCUCGAAACUACGUGGCUCGAGUGUGGCAGAGGAAGGUGGAAUUCCACGUGUAGCGGUGAAAUGCGUAGAGAUGUGGAGGAACACCGAUGGCGAAGGCAGCCUUCUGGGCCAACACUGACGCUCAUGCACGAAAGCGUGGGGAGCAAACAGGAUUAGAUACCCUGGUAGUCCACGCCCUAAACGAUGAUGACUAGUUGUUGGAGGAGUUAAAUCCUUUAGUAACGCAGCUAACGCGUGAAGUCAUCCGCCUGGGGAGUACGGUCGCAAGAUUA